RNAcentral lists this ribosomal RNA (395 nucleotides) under uncultured cyanobacterium. Its description in RNAcentral is "bacterial SSU rRNA". It matches the Rfam family "Bacterial small subunit ribosomal RNA", at positions 356 to 765 of the family's 1533-position model. The record is from RNAcentral. Lineage: Bacteria; Bacillati; Cyanobacteriota.
GGGGAAUCUUCCGCAAUGGGGGCAACCCUGACGGAGCAAGACCGCGUGGGGGAGGAAGGCCUUAGGGUUGUAAACCUCUUUUAUAUGGGAAGAACAAAAUGACGGUACCAUAUGAAUCAGCCUCGGCUAACUCCGUGCCAGCAGCCGCGGUAAUACGGAGGAUGCAAGCGUUAUCCGGAAUUAUUGGGCGUAAAGCGUCCGCAGGUGGUUAGUCAAGUCAGCUGUAAAAGACUCAGGCUCAACUUGGGAUGUGCAGUUGAAACUGAUUGACUAGAGUACGGUAGGGGUAGAGGGAAUUCCUAGUGUAGCGGUGAAAUGCGUAGAUAUUAGGAAGAACACCAGUGGCGAAGGCGCUCUACUGGGCCUGUACUGACGCUGAGGGACGAAAGCUAGGG